ACAUGGGACGCGCGCCCUAACCAUUGCGCCACCAGCGCGCCCCUACAUUCACAUUUUAAAGACAUUUCAUUGUUAGGAAAGAGUAUUUCUCUGAACUCCAAAAGCAAGAACAAAAUGUAUUAUGACUUAAAUAUGAGGCCCCGUCCAAAUAUGGUAAACCUUUGUGUGAGGAGAAGUCAUAACAUACACGUGAAAAACAUACAGUCAGCCAGAAAAAUACAAAAAUUAAGAGAAAGCAGCUGACCCAGCCGUACAGACAUUCCCUGACUCAGUAGCUGGGUGCAUUUUAAAGGUUAAAAGGAAACAGUGGUCUGGAAAGAUACUGGAAUUCCUGCCUGUCUCAGACACUGAUUUUUUUCCCCCGCCCCUCCUUGUCUGAGAUUCUCUAUUCCCUCAUGCACAGACUCUUUUAAACACUUUGCAAGCCACAGCACACAGAGCCCGACAAAUACACCAACAAAGCUGAUUCAACAAUGAGGGUUACAAUUUCACUGAAUGUCAUCAGUAUUUUUUUAUGGAUAAACAUCAACAGAGAUGCACGCAUAAUCACCUGUGUCCAUUGCAGCAGAUUUCUCUAUGAGGAUUGUAGAGUUCUGUCCCACAGCUGUGUUGUCCUGAUCAAAACAAAGGACUUUGUGCUGUGCCAAGCUGUUCUGCGUCGCUCCGCAGCCCUGGAAGAGAGAGAUAUUUUUUUUAAUAAAAAGGGUGCGGAAGAGCAGAAACAAGGGGGCACGGUCGGUCAUAACCACACUCAAAUGCAAUAACAUAAUAAUAACAUAUAACGUUGUAAUGAUGACAGCGUGUAUUUAAACUGUUAACAUCAUUCACUCAUCUGAGCACAUAAGAUAGAAAAAGGGUCAGUGGUACAUUACCUGAUCCAAAGACUUCCACUCAGAUAUACAGCCAGCACAGCAGACAUGUGAACAUGUGGGGUCAAUAUUACCCUGACCUAGACAGAGGAUAGUUGAUACAAGAUGGAUCAAUUCAAGCAGAACAGAAAAAAACAGCGGAGUUUAAACAUGUGCAGAGGGUGUGGGCAUGAAGAAAAUGAUUCAGAGGGUUAGACCAAGACAAACCAAUUUGAUAAACAGGGCUGACAUUUAAUAAGUGCUGAAAAACUGGUUUUCUGGCUCCUUUGAUAAACACCCACAUCCUAUCUUCCCAGAGUAGAAAGGCUGUAGAACUGUGUGUGAACAGUGUUUCAAUAUUCACAUCUGAACAAAACAAAGACAUGAGCUGAUCUGCAGUCAUAGGAAAAAGCAGCUUUACGAGGCACCGGGUGUGUGUAUUGCGCCUGUCUGAUGGCACAAGUCGCCACAGGGGAGGGCUAAGGCUCUCUUGUUGUUGGAUCUCACCAUGAUGUCAUGCAUUAAUUAUAACAGUAGUUCGGGGUUACAGCGUUCCCUGUUUCAAUGACCUGCAGGAUGGAAUCUUAAUCUCACUUUCAGAUGGUUUGUGUCCAACUGAACAACUCCCUGAGAUCUGGCAAAUACAAAAAGCUAAAAUAAGAAUUCAUGACUCUACAUGCUGUUUUUGAAAUUCUUCUGGAGUCAGUCAUUGGACAGGAAAGUCGUCAGACAGUGUUAUAUUUUGUGUUCCUGUGUAAUGGAGUUAAUGAUUCCACUUGCCAUCACUUGGCAUAGAAUGUCUUUAUUUGACUAUUUCUAUUGUUUAAAUACCGUUUAUAAUUAAUUCUAAUGAGUAUCCACUGGGACUCUGUGUAACAUAAGCGCCCUCUGCUUGUGCCCCUGCAGACUUGAGCAGUGCAACCCGUGUAUCUUUGCCAGUCUGCACUAUGCUGUCCCCGUGAUUAAACGGCGUGCUGGUGCCAAAAGUAAAAGUGUUUGAAUGAUUCAUCACACAACGCAAGAGAGAGUACACAACCGCUACACCUUGAUACUUCCAAAGUGAAAGUUCAGCUAAAAUGUUAACACCAAAGAACAGAGGCAAGUCUCUACUUUUGUUUUCUGAUCCAUGUUUUCAGAGGUCUUUUCCUUCUGCAGUGUGCAAGUUAGCUGCUGCCCACUCUGAUUGCUUUGAGAGAGUAAAUCAUUUUUGUGCCUGAUGUCUUCACAACAAAACAACUGUAUUGUUCAUAGUUCAUCAGCCUACACUUACAUUAACCUGACCUCUAACAGCUGUGUGAAAUACAACUCCAGCUGGAAGGAAAAUAUGUUUAAGUAACGUGAAAAUUCACAACAUUAGUAUUUUCUUUCUUUUACCCGUGACCUCAAUCCUUCCCUAACUUACACCAUACUCACAUUCAUACCUUAAUCUAACCAAGUCUUAACAAUUGCAGUGGCAAUAAAUGAGUUGUAAAACUGUUAAAUGUAACAAUGUAGUUUGGAUUUCUUUAAAUGGAAAAGUUUUCUAUGGAACAGAUGAUGCCCUGAAGGUAAAGGUGUCAGCUCAGAAAGUCUGUUUUUUUUUUCCUAAGCUGUCACGUCUCAAUAACAACCACUUCAAAACAUCAAAUGCUUGGGCGAAUUUUUGGAAGAAGCUUUCCUUGAGGAUCUUGGCCAAAAACAACUGAUGCUGAUUCGCUAGCUCAUUGUGGCUUGACACAUUCCUUAAAAGUAACACCCAAAAAAAACUUCCACAGGCACAGAGUUCAGUAUGUAGAGAAACAGUCCUGUGCUGUAACAAAUAAAGAUUUCUCUCUCUUUACUCACAGACUUAAUGUUCUUAUGUUCUCCAAAUAUGUUCAAGGAAAUAUUGUAGUCUCUCCUUGUAGUUAGUAAAUGUUAGCGUGUUCAUAAGUUGCAUUGAAUGGUGGCUUUUUUUAUUUUUAGGACACACCAACUCUGCAGCAACAGCUCUUUGCCAGUCAUGCUGUUUGAUCAUCAUUCUCUGUCAGUCUUGUUGUAUCGGCCAGUUUUUCUGUGGAUCAUUGUGCUGAAAGGUUUGUGGUGAGGUUGGACUCGGUAAGUUGGUGUUCCCCUACAUUUGCUACACAUACUUAGUUGACUUUGUUAGAAACACUAGGUAAGUGUGGUAUGUGCCACCUACAGUAUGUGGUUUUAUCUUUCAAUAUUUUUUAGUCAGGUUUGUGUUUGGAUUACUUUUACAUGAGGUUAGAGACUAGUUAAGUCCGGUUUUGUUUUGUUGAGUUGAUUUAUUUGGCACAACCACUUUGUCCAAUCCUCACCCCCACCUUGUUCAUUAAAUUCAGUUUUUUUUGUAUAAGAUAAACAUUCUCUUACUCUU
Non-coding RNA from Labrus bergylta (ballan wrasse), 3207 nucleotides. NCBI's taxonomy places the organism in Eukaryota, Metazoa, Chordata, Actinopteri, Labriformes, Labridae. The record is from RefSeq and is a predicted model, not a curated record.